This 215-nucleotide long non-coding RNA is filed under the name Elaeis guineensis (African oil palm). RNAcentral describes it as "long non-coding RNA (EGUI_LNC051442)". The record is from RNAcentral. Lineage: Eukaryota; Viridiplantae; Streptophyta; Magnoliopsida; Arecales; Arecaceae.
CCGACCUGACACUGAAGUUCGACUAUCUGUCAAGAAGAAUAAGUGCAAGGAGAAGCUGGAGGCCGCUGAGGUCAUCGUAGUCAAAGCUUUUUGAUCUUCGAUCGAGUUUUGGGACCUGAAGGUGGAGUAUGGCUCGGCCUCAUACUUACAGGGGAUCAAGGACUUCAAGUAGAAGGUCAGGAAUCACUUUUCUGACCUUAACCUUGGACCCCUAG